RNAcentral lists this ribosomal RNA (247 nucleotides) under uncultured bacterium. RNAcentral describes it as "partial 16S ribosomal RNA". It matches the Rfam family "Bacterial small subunit ribosomal RNA", at positions 523 to 769 of the family's 1533-position model. The record is from RNAcentral.
AUACGGAGGGUGCAAGCGUUACUCGGAAUCACUGGGCGUAAAGGGUGCGUAGGCUGGCUUCUAAGUCAGAUGUGAAAUCCAAUGGCUUAACCAUUGAACUGCAUUUGAAACUGGGAGCCUAGAGUUCAGAAGGGGCAGAUGGAAUUAGUGGUGUAGGGGUAAAAUCCGUAGAUAUCACUAGGAAUAUCAAAAGCGAAGGCGAUCUGCUGGGAUGAUACUGACGCUGAGGCACGAAAGCGUGGGGAGC